RNAcentral lists this long non-coding RNA (132 nucleotides) under Sinocyclocheilus grahami. RNAcentral describes it as "lncRNA (ENSSGRG00000011099.1)". The record is from RNAcentral. Lineage: Eukaryota; Metazoa; Chordata; Actinopteri; Cypriniformes; Cyprinidae.
GCCGCCGAAGUUUCUAAGAUGGCGGCUAGUAAUUAUUAUGGAUUCACACAUGCAGCCGCAGCUGCCGCCGCCGGCCCGCAGUACAGGGUUGAAAACCGGCUACGGUACGACGAGCACAGCAUACAGUCAGCC